Molecule: ribosomal RNA, 497 nt
Filed under: uncultured bacterium
Lineage: Bacteria
Description: partial 16S ribosomal RNA
Rfam family: Bacterial small subunit ribosomal RNA
Source: RNAcentral
GAUGAACGCUGGCGGCGUGCCUAAUACAUGCAAGUCGAGCGAACGGACGAGAAGUUUGCUGCUCUGAUGUUAGCGGCGGAGGGGUGAGUAACCCGUGGAUAACCUACUUAUAAGAGGGGGAGAACUGCGGGAAAGCGGAGCAAAUACCGGACAAUAUUUUCACCCGCAUGGUCCAAAAGUGAAAGACGGUUUUCCUGUCACUUAUAGAGGGAACCCCGCGGCUUUAGCUAGUUGGUAAGGUAACGGCCUACCAAGGCAACGAUGGAUAGCCGACCGGAGAGGGUGAUCGGGCACACUGGAACCUAGGCACGGUCCAGACUCCUGCGGGAGGCAGCAGGAGGGAAUCUUCCGCAAUGCGCGAAAGCCUGCCGGCACCACCGCGCGUGAGUGAUGAGGGUCUUCCGCUCGUACAACUCUGUUGUUGGGGAAGGAGAAAUGUGUACGGGACUGGGCACAUCUUGAGGGUACCUAAUCAGAGAGCCCCGGCUAACUACGUG